UACGUAGGGGGCAAGCGUUGUCCGGAAUCAUUGGGCGUAAAGCGCGUGUAGGCGGCUUGGUAAGUCUGGUGUGAAACCUCGGGGCUCAACCCCGAGCCUGCACUGGAUACUGCCUCGCUUGAGUCCGGGAGGGGAGAGCGGAAUUCCACGUGUAGCGGUGAAAUGCGUAGAGAUCUGGAGGAACACCGAUGGCGAAGGCAGCCUUCUGGGCCAACACUGACGCUCAUGCACGAAAGCGUGGGGAGCGAACAGG
RNAcentral lists this ribosomal RNA (253 nucleotides) under uncultured bacterium. RNAcentral's name for it is "partial 16S ribosomal RNA". It matches the Rfam family "Bacterial small subunit ribosomal RNA", at positions 524 to 776 of the family's 1533-position model. The record is from RNAcentral.